UGGUCAUGCUCUCCGGCCACGUCCCCGCCCGUCACCCGGGAGUUUCCCCUAGGAAAGCCCCCAUCAUCAUCCGGGAGCUUCCUGGCCACGCCCCCACCAUCACCCGGGAACCUCCUGGCCACGCCCCCACCAUCACCCAGGAGCUUCCUUAGCCACGCCCCAUUUAGUACCGAGUAGGUUCCUCGGCCACGCCCCGACUCGUCACCCAGGAGCUUCCCUAGCCCCGCCACAUCAUCACCCAGGAACUUCGUGGCCGCCCCCUCCACCUGUCACCCAGAAGCAUACCCUUGCCAUGGCCUCACUCGUCACACAGGAGCCUUAUCUUAUGCCCCACUUAGGAGCUUCUCUAGCCACGCCCGCACCAUCACCCUGGAGCGUCCCUAACCCCGCCCCCACCAUCGCCCAGGGGCGUCCUGGCCACGCCCCCAGUCGUCUCCCGGGAUCUUCCCCAGUCCCGCCCACAUUCCAUCAGCCACAAAUUAUUCCUCUCCAUCCGGCCUCCUGGGAACACAAAAAAGGAAGGCCCGAAUUUGCCGGAGCAGGAGAGCUGGGGUGGAUGGGGGUCUCCUGAAUAAAGCGAGUACCUUUCUCAGAAUCCUGACAUGGGAGGAGGGAAUAAUACCUGGCUCACAGGAAGGGCUCAUGGAUGGAAAUAUACUUUGUGGCUAUCCCCAGCUUGCUUGCUCCCUUUCAUAUGUCACAUUCUCUCUCUCACACACACACCCGGCAGUCGCCACCCUGGAACAAACAGCCUCAGAAGGACGGAGAAACGCAGACCCGCCACGGACCUGCUUUGCCACUUGAGUCCCAGUUGUUAGAUCCCCAAACCCGGGGGAGAAGAAACGGCCGAGGGCAAUGUCGGUUCCUCUCUGCCCAGCGCCUCCCCGGGGUUCUCUAAUUCCUUCUCUCCAUUGCCCACCUGCUGUGUGGCUGGUGCUAUGCCAGGGACGCCGCAGGGACCAAAAUGUCCCUGAGCCCUGCUCUCCGGGGCUCUCAGCGCAGUGCGGGGCACAUGCCGAU
This 1020-nucleotide long non-coding RNA is filed under the name Equus asinus (donkey). Its description in RNAcentral is "lncRNA (ENSEASG00005024894.1)". The record is from RNAcentral. Lineage: Eukaryota; Metazoa; Chordata; Mammalia; Perissodactyla; Equidae.